UGGGGAAUCUUCCGCAAUGGGGCGCAAGCCUGACGGAGCAACGCCGCGUGAGUGAAGAAGGUCUUCGGAUCGUAAAGCUCUGUUGAGAGGGACGAGAGACAUAAUCAGGAAAUGGGUUAUGGAGGACGGUACCUUUCGAGGAAGCCACGGCUAACUACGUGCCAGCAGCCGCGGUAAUACGUAGGUGGCGAGCGUUGUCCGGAAUUAUUGGGCGUAAAGGGAGCGCAGGCGGGAUAUCAAGUCUUUCUUAAAAGUGCGGGGCUCAACCCCGUGAUGGGAAGGAAACUGGUAUUCUUGAGUGCAGGAGAGGAAAGCGGAAUUCCUAGUGUAGCGGUGAAAUGCGUAGAUAUUAGGAGGAACACCAGUGGCGAAGGCGGCUUUCUGGACUGUAACUGACGCUGAGGCUCGAAAGCCAGGGGA
This 420-nucleotide ribosomal RNA is filed under the name uncultured Veillonellaceae bacterium. RNAcentral's name for it is "bacterial SSU rRNA". It matches the Rfam family "Bacterial small subunit ribosomal RNA", at positions 355 to 767 of the family's 1533-position model. The record is from RNAcentral. Lineage: Bacteria; Bacillati; Bacillota; Negativicutes; Veillonellales; Veillonellaceae.